This 253-nucleotide ribosomal RNA is filed under the name uncultured bacterium. RNAcentral describes it as "partial 16S ribosomal RNA". It matches the Rfam family "Bacterial small subunit ribosomal RNA", at positions 524 to 776 of the family's 1533-position model. The record is from RNAcentral.
UACGAAGGUGGCAAGCGUUGUUCGGAUUUACUGGGCGUACAGGGAGCGUAGGCGGUUGGGUAAGCCCUCCGUGAAAUCUCCGGGCCUAACCCGGAAAGUGCGGAGGGGACUGCUCGGCUAGAGGAUGGGAGAGGAGCGCGGAAUUCCCGGUGUAGCGGUGAAAUGCGGAGAGAUCGGGAGGGAGGCCGGUGGCGAAGGCGGCGCUCUGGAACAUUUCUGACGCUGAGGCUCGAAAGCGUGGGGAGCAAACAGG